This 242-nucleotide ribosomal RNA is filed under the name Triticum aestivum (bread wheat). RNAcentral's name for it is "partial small subunit ribosomal RNA". The record is from RNAcentral. Lineage: Eukaryota; Viridiplantae; Streptophyta; Magnoliopsida; Poales; Poaceae.
CGAAUGGUAUGCGACAGUUUUUGUAAGAGUCAAGUAGCCGCCUGUUAUCUCUCGCUCGGACUUCUGAAUGAUAUCCUCUAGUACGUUUAAUAUUUAUGUAUGUAACCAGGUAUAUGUGUUUCAUUUAAUCUUGUGCCUUGUUGUUGGUGUUUUAUGUGGUGUGUAUGUUGUGUAAACUCUACAUGAUUGUCUUAGCGUUUUACUUACUGUUUGUAUCCAUGUACAGAUCAAAUGUUUGGUUC